CGUAAACAGAGGGAAGCGAGCCUGCGAGGGGGAGCGAAUCCCAAAAAUAAACGUCCCAGUUCGGAUUGUAGUCUGCAACCCGACUACAUGAAGCUGGAACCGCUAGUAAUCGCGGAUCAGAAUGCCGCGGUGAAUACGUUCCCGGGUCUUGUACACACCGCCCGUCACACCAUGGGAGUCGGAAAUGCCCGAAGUCUGUGACCGAACCGAGAGGGAGGAGCAGCCGAAGGCAGGUCGGAUGACUGGGGUGAAGUCGUAACAAGGUACC
This 268-nucleotide ribosomal RNA is filed under the name uncultured bacterium. RNAcentral's name for it is "partial 16S ribosomal RNA". It matches the Rfam family "Bacterial small subunit ribosomal RNA", at positions 1234 to 1500 of the family's 1533-position model. The record is from RNAcentral.